Molecule: ribosomal RNA, 517 nt
Filed under: Busoniomimus polydoros
Lineage: Eukaryota; Metazoa; Arthropoda; Insecta; Hemiptera; Cicadellidae
Description: partial large subunit ribosomal RNA
Rfam family: Bacterial large subunit ribosomal RNA (bases 384-517)
Source: RNAcentral
ACAUUUCUUUAAGGUUAAAAUUUAAGGUAGGUUCUGCCCUAUGAUUAAUAUUAAAUGGCUGCAGUAUUCUGACUGUGCAAAGGUAGCAUAAUAAUUAGCUUCUUAAUUAGGGGCUUGUAUGAAUGAAUUAAUGAGAAAUUUAUUUUAUUAUAAUUAUUUUUGUAAAUUAAUUUUUAAGUUAAAAAGCUUAGAUUUAUUUUUGGGACGAUAAGACCCUAUAGAACUUUUAUUAUUAUAAAUAUUUUUUCAUUUAGUAUAUUAUUUAAAAAGUGUUUAUAAUAUUUUUUACUGGGGUGGUAAAUAAAUAUUUAACUUUAUUUAUUAGUUUCAUUAAUUUAUGUAUUAAUGAUCUUAUUUAGAUUAAAAGAUUAAGUUACCUUAGGGAUAACAGCGUAAUUUUAAUGGAGAGUUCAUAUUUAUAUUAAAGUUUGCGACCUCGAUGUUGAAUUAAGAUAAAGUUAAGGGGUAGGUUCUUUAAAUUUAGGUCUGUUCGACCUUUAAAUUCUUACGUGAUCUG